RNAcentral lists this transfer RNA (68 nucleotides) under Chingawaemys sp. LAV1667. RNAcentral's name for it is "tRNA-His". It matches the Rfam family "tRNA". From Rfam's summary of the family: Transfer RNA (tRNA) molecules are approximately 80 nucleotides in length. Their secondary structure includes four short double-helical elements and three loops (D, anti-codon, and T loops). Lineage: Eukaryota; Metazoa; Chordata; Mammalia; Rodentia; Muridae. The record is from RNAcentral.
GUAAAUAUAGUUUAAAAAAAACAUUAGACUGUGAAUCUAAUAACAGGACUUAAAACUCCUUAUUUACC